Long non-coding RNA from Rhodamnia argentea, 150 nucleotides. RefSeq lists it as uncharacterized. The transcript has 3 exons. Lineage: Eukaryota; Viridiplantae; Streptophyta; Magnoliopsida; Myrtales; Myrtaceae. The record is from RefSeq and is a predicted model, not a curated record.
CCAUCUUCGUUGUGCUCUCGCUCUCUGGCGUCUUUGCGGAGAUCGAUUGCGAAUAUGCGCUUCGAAAGACGCAACGUCUGAGACACCAUCGACAGAACUCGCACUACAGCCCACAUGAGGUUUAUGAUCAAAAAAAAAAAGGGGUUCAGU